RNAcentral lists this long non-coding RNA (3414 nucleotides) under Salmo salar (Atlantic salmon). RNAcentral describes it as "lncRNA (ENSSSAG00000088463.1)". The record is from RNAcentral. Lineage: Eukaryota; Metazoa; Chordata; Actinopteri; Salmoniformes; Salmonidae.
UAGCUGAUACCUUAACUACCUAUCCAGGUAUUUGUAGAUCUGGCGUGCGUCAGCAGCGUAGUCCAGCAGGAAUCCAACCUGUGUGCUGCUCUCUCUCUCUCUCUCUCUCUCCAAACCCUUCCCCUCUCUCUCUCUCUCUCUCUCUCUCCAAACCCUUCCCCUCUCUCUCUCUCUCUCUCUCUCUAAACCCUUCCCCUCUCUCUCUCUCUCUCUCUCUCUCCAAACCCUUCCCCCUCUCUCUCUCUCUCUCUCUCUCUCUAAACCCUUCCCCUCUCUCUCUCUCUCUCUCUCUCCAGCUCCAAACCAAACCCAGUCUAGGUAUUAGUAAACAAGGCUUUAUUUUGACUGUACAGACAGUUAGUGCAGAAUACACAAAGCUCUUAUCAGAGUGAAUAUAUUACAGAAGAACAGCGACCACUGUUUCAGGGUCUGGAAAAUAAAAUAACAUAAACUCUUUAAUCCUAUUGCCCAAUACACAGUCACACACCUAGUAAAAAAAAAUCACAGUCUCUCUACAAUGGCAUGCAGAGCCAUUGUUAAGUUCAGGGGAGAGGUUUACAGACUGAACCCUUGGGUAAAUGCCAGCUAGGUAUUAAGAGUCUCCAAAGUCGUUGUUCAGGAUGAACCAGACUCCUGUGGCUGUCUAUCUAAUACCAGGACCAUUGGAGAAUCUUUAUUGUUUUGCAUCUCAGCCAGACGUGGUUGUAGAAGAGCUGCAGUGUGUCUAUGUGUUGGCUCAGUAGUGUGCCUGAAGGUAACAGAUUAUUCCCAGGUGAAGAGAGGACAGGUAAAAGUGGAAACCUACAAAUUGGCAGCUCUUGUAACUCCAUGUUAUGAUAAAUAACAACAAAAAAGGUAGAAAUCAAAGUUUAAAUAACUUUUUUUUUUUAACCAUUGAGCGUUUUUCACUCUGAAUGGUUCAUUUACCAUCUACGACAUUAGAUUUGGUACAUCAUGUCCUGCUGCAUCGAUCAGGACUCGUCCUCAAACAGACAGACUCAUCAUGAUUCUAUAUAUAGUGACGUUUUGAAACAAACAAGGUGAGAAAGAAGAGUACAGACUGAGUUGACAAAACAUUAAGAACACCUGUUCUCUUUCCAUGACAGACUGACCAGGUGAAUCCAGGUGAAGGAUAUGAUCCCUUAUUGAUGACAUCUGUUAAAUCCACUUCAAAUCAGUGUAGAUGAAGGGGAGGAGACGAGUUAAAGGAGGAUUUUUAAGCUUUUAGACAGUUGAGACAUGGAUUGUGUGUGUGUGGUUUUAAGUGCCUUUUGAACGGGGUAUGGUAGUAGGUGCCAGGCGCACCGGUUUGUGUCAAGAACUGCAACGCUGCUGGGUUUUUCAAUCUCCACAGUUUCCCGUGUGAAUCAAGAAUGUUCCACCACCCAAAGGACAUCCGGCCAACUUGACACAACUGUGGGGAAGCAUUGGAGUCAACAUGGACCAGCAUCCCUGUGGAACGCUUUCUACACCUGGUAGAGUCCAUGUCCUGAUGAAUUGAGGCUGUUCUGAGGGGGAAAAUGGGAUUCAACUCAAUAUUAGGAAGGUGUUUUUAAUGUUUGUCCACUCAGUGUAAAGUCUCUUCUCAACAUUACACUGUACACUCCAGGUCUACUGUUAACCGCUUAGUAUUACAGAUCUACCUGUUAAAAUAACCGCAUUGAAGUAAUCACUCAUUCAUGAAUGACUUCCACAUUAGCAGGGUUCAGUCUAGUCCAGAAGAUCAGUUGUUAGAUUGUUUGGCUCGUCUUCCUCUUUCAGAGCAGCUAGUAAAAAGUCAAGUAGUAAUUUAUUAUGGAACAUUCUCCCACCGAGAAGCUGUUCAACACAACAUCGACUCCGUAUUGACAACCUUAAAGUGACAGUGUAGUCUGACUGCGUCUGAACCUCAACUUCACAGUUGUUGCUAAUGUAGAGCAUCGUUUGGCUUCACCACAGCCGUCUGUUAGAGAGAGUCAGAGAGUUCAGCUGGAAGCCCAGGUGGCUCCAGGUAAUUGGGAGUCAAGAGAGUUCAGCUGGAAGCCCAGGUGGCUCCAGGUAAUUGGGAGUCAGAGAGUUCGGUUGGAAGCCCAGGUGGCUCCAGGUAAUUGGGAGUCAGAGAGUUCAGUUGGAAGCCCAGGUGGCUCCAGGUAAUUGGGAGUCAGAGAGUUCAGGUGGAAGCCCAGGUGGCUCCAGGUAAUUGGGAGUCAGAGAGUUCAGUUGGAAGCCCAGGUGGCUCCAGGUUAUUGGGAGUCAGAGUUCAGUUGGAAGCCCAGGUGGCUCUGGGUAAUUAGGAGUCAGAGAAUUCAGCUGGAAGCCCAGGUGGCUCCAGGUAAUUAGGAGUCAGAGAGUUCAGUUGGAAGCCCAGGUGGCUCCAGGUAAUUGGGAGUCAGAGAGUUCAGCUGGAAGCCCAGGUGGCUCCAGGUUAUUGGGAGUAAACGUUCAGCUGGAAGCCCAGGUUGUUCCAGGUUAUAGGGAGUAAACGUUCAGUUGGAAGCCCAGGUGGCUCCAGGUUAUUAGGAGUCAGAGAGUUCAGCUGGAAGCCCAGGUGGCUCCAGGUUAUUAGGAGUCAGAGAGUUCGGUUGGAAGCCCAGGUGGCUCCAGGUUAUUGGGACUCAGAGAGUUCGGUUGGAAGCCCAGGUGGCUCCAGGUUAUUGGGAGUCAGAGAGUUCAGCUGGAAGCCCAGGUGGCUCCAGGUUAUUGGGAGUAAACGUUCAGCUGGAAGCCCAGGUAGUUCCAGGUUAUAGGGAGUAAACGUUCAGUUGGAAGCCCAGGUGGCUCCAGGUUAUUAGGAGUCAGAGAGUUCAGCUGGAAGCCCAGGUGGCUCCAGGUUAUUAGGUGUCAGAGAGUUCGGUUGGAAGCCCAGGUGGCUCCAGGUACUUAGGAGUCAGAGAGUUCGGUUGGAAGCCCAGGUGGCUCCAGGUUAUUGGGAGUCAGAGAGUUCGGUUGGAAGCCCAGGUGGCUCCAGGUUAUUGGGAGUCAGAGUUCAGUUGGAAGCCCAGGUGGCUCCAGGUUAUUGGGAGUCAGAGAGUUCGGUUGGAAGCCCAGGUGGCUCCAGGUAAUUAGGAGUCAGAGAGUUCAGCUGGAAGCCCAGGUGGCUCCAGGUUACAUGGUAGUUAUUGCCAAUAGAGGAAGAAAAGGUGAUCCAUCCAUAUUUCUAGGAUGAGAAGGCACUUUGGUGACAAGACUUAGGCUACGUCUGAAAUUACACCCUAUCCCCUAAAAAUCAGGGAAUUAGGUGCCAUUUUGGACACACCCUGGACAGUAAUAUGUAUUGAACUGGUCUAUCAUCGUCGUGGCAGAUGAGUGUGUGUGUUUUCCAGUAGCCUUUUUAUUAACUUCAUGGUCUUUGGGUCGUGCAUCCUGUCUAACAGAUCUUCUCUGGAAUGUUAAAAACUGAGGUUUUAUCCAAGGAGGUUGUGUUUCCCUGGCCAC